This 351-nucleotide transfer-messenger RNA is filed under the name Lentisphaeria. Its description in RNAcentral is "UBA1724 sp900771165 Standard tmRNA". It matches the Rfam family "transfer-messenger RNA". Rfam says of the family: Bacterial tmRNA, also known as 10Sa RNA or SsrA, is named for its dual tRNA and mRNA-like properties. Its role is to liberate the mRNA from a stalled ribosome. To accomplish this part of the tmRNA is used as a reading frame that ends in a translation stop signal. Lineage: Bacteria; Pseudomonadati; Lentisphaerota. RNAcentral also lists the same sequence under 1 other name. The record is from RNAcentral.
GGGGGCGAAACGGUCUCGACUGGAAAGGUAGAACGCAGGCUGCAUGCGGAGGAUGAUCGUUGGCCUCCUUAAUCAUCGGUCAAAAAAGUAACUGCGAACACUGAGUACGCACUCGCGGCCUAGUCCGUGACGUCUCCUCCGGGAUGCCUGAUAACGGUUGAGGCGCAAGCAUCAGGCUGGCCAGGAGCCCCGGGCAGGCGGGGGAAACCAGCGAGAAAGAACAGCACGCUGCUUCCAUCGAAGGAUGCCCGGCACCAAAGCGAUGGACUAAGAGCAAAGCCCGGGAUAAGCAUGUAGACGCUUGCGCGACGUCUCUUCAGGACCGGGGUUCAACUCCCCGCGCCUCCACCA